CUUAAGUGGUCCUGACCAUUAUUUUUCUACUUCCUAUUUCACAGAGGAGAUUCCAGAUUCAAACAGUUACUACCCUUAGAGAUCAGAUGUUUGGCUGAUUCAUUCAGUAAGCUACAACUUUCCUCACCGUGCUGGUUUUUCAAGUAGGAACUAGCUUCUAAACUUUUUCUUAUGAGAAGAAUUCUCAAAUGAGUAAAAGCUUCUCAUUCCCAAUCUUAUGUGGCUCCAGGAUUUUCACUGAAGGAAUAAUAAGGAAGGAGCCGGCGUGCAAUUAGAUUAACAAUCUUCCAAAGAAAGGACCAGGAGCUGAAUGACAGGAAAGAGAAGUUCAUUGGCACAUCAGAAGGCACAGAAAUGAAAUGCUUUGCCUAAGGUCACACAUGGUGGAAGAUAGCCCAAACCUCCUGAGUCCCAGUCCUCACAUCACAACUUCUUCUUGAUCAAGACAUGGAGGCCCGAGAGUUAUCCAAAAAGAUUUGCAAGAUUUUUUGUUGUUCUCAGUAAUUGCUGAACUACUUUUGAUCAAACUUUCCUAAAACCUUCACCCUUGGCCAAAGAUCCCAUCUGGAAAACGUCACCUAGAAAGCUCUACUCACGCCAUCAACACUUGAAAGACAAAGGAAGCAUCAUUGAGCUGGCAGAGGUGUCUGACUCAGAGGAAUCCAACCAGACUGCUGUAAUCAUACGACGUCUGGUUUCUCAUAUUGGAAGAGGCCAGCAUAAAGACGGCAACAACGUUCAGAUAAGCAGCCACAACACCUGAUGAAGAAAGAAACAGCUUUGGACUGAGGGAGGGAUCCUAUCUGAAAGGAAUUCAGCCAGGAAAGCUACCACCCCUCAUUCAGGUGCUACAAGAAUGUGGAGUUGGUUCUCCCUUUGGCAUGUGUACCUAAGUCCCAUCAGUCUCAACAUAAAUUCUGCAUGAAGGGGAGAAUAAACAUUGUAAAUUUUUAAACAGUCCAAGUGCCCGCUCCUAAUUGAACGUGGCUGCUGCGGAGAGCUGACUACAUCUUCAAAACACAGCUGUGUGACAGGUGAAGCAGCCCACAAUGAUAAAUGUUAGGUUUAGAACUUCAAGAUUACAACCUACUGAUGAACUGUCAUCGAAUGAGAUUCCAUUUUCCACUCCUGACGACAUUUUAAUUUUUACCUAUUUAAACCAGAGUUACCAAAAACAUUUUCCUACCAGGAACAGAUGCAGUAGAUGCACAUUUUUAAAAUAUUUAAUUCACAAACCAAUCUUGUUACCCAUGAAUGAGUAAAUAAAAGAUCCCUCUGAAAUCUCAGAAAUUUGUGUAUUAUGAGCCAGAUUCUUAGCUGGUGUAAAUUGAGGUUGAUUUAUGCUAGUUGAGAAUCUGAAUAUAUGUAUUAAUAGAGUUAAAUUAGUGGGGGGCGGAAGAUAAUGAAAGGUCCAUACAAAACAACAGGAUCUCAACUCCAUCGCUUUCUGAGAGAUUUCUAAUAUAUGAACCAGAUCCUGGUCUCAGUUAUAUUGGUAUAAAUCUGCAGUAAUUCCACUGAAAUCAUUUGGUCUCAGUCCAGAGUAGCUCCAUUGUUGAAUUUUUACUGAUAUAACUGAAAUCUGUGGAACAGAUGGAGUACCUAUUUUUCAUUCAUUUUGCAAAAUAUACUUGUCUCUCAGUCAAAGCAAAUGAAAUAUAUAUAUUUCUCCUAAUGUGAUGCAUGCAUCAUACGUAUAUCAUGUAAGUGUCAAUGUAUAUGUUUUGUCCCAUACAUCAAUCAAGCAAAUCACACAUUAAGGUUGAUCCUAUGUCUGUGUGUAGACUGCACUAUUGAACACAGAAUCUGACAUAGGUCUAGGGAAUGUACUUCCUAUGUGAAAGAAACUCAGGUAGUUUCCCCACAAAUUUUGGGUCAUCCAAACAGGGCCGGCUCCAAGGUUUUUGCCGCCCCAAGCAGCGCAAAAAAAAAAGAAAAAAGCCACGAUCGUGAUCUGCGGUGGCAAUUCGGCGGGAGGUCCUUCGCUCCAAGCCGGAGUGAGGGACCGUCCGCCAAAUUGCCGCCGGAUAGUUGGACCUGCCGCCCCUCUCUGGAGUGGCCGCCCCAAGCACCUGCUUGGCAAGCUGGUGCCUGGAGCCGGCCCUGCAUCCAAAAAUGAGAGGAGGCAUGCCCUCCCUCAACCAGCUGCUAUGAAGGAAACACCACAAAUUGAAACUCAUGAAGUUUCCUGCCACACUCAUGGGAUUAUUUUCAUGAUUUAACACCGCAUCAGCAGCUGUGCAACUGAGCAAGAAACAAAAGCAGUAUUUCUAACUCAGUCUUAUAAAAGUACUGUAAUUGUAUUAGAGAUUUGUUGAUCUGAAAUAUGAA
Malaclemys terrapin pileata is the source of this 2331-nucleotide long non-coding RNA. RefSeq lists it as uncharacterized. Lineage: Eukaryota; Metazoa; Chordata; Testudines; Emydidae. The record is from RefSeq and is a predicted model, not a curated record. The transcript is spliced from 10 exons.